CCCCUAGACGUUCUGGGCUGCACGCGCGCUACAAUAAUACGCACAGCGAGUAUCACCGAGCUCGAAAGGGCAAGGUAAGCAAUAGAAAAGGUACUGUAAUGGUUAUAGAUCCUUGUAAUUAUUGAUCUUCAACGAGGAAUUCCUAGUAAGUAUGUGUCAUCAUCACGCACUGAUUACGUCCCUGCCCUUUGUACACACCGCCCGUCGCUCCUACCGAUUGGGUGAGCCGAUGAAACUCUCGGAUGUAGGCUAUUCAUAGCCCGCAGAAGAGAUUUGAAUCGUAGCGCUUAGAGGAAGGAGAAGUCGUAACA
This 311-nucleotide ribosomal RNA is filed under the name uncultured eukaryote. RNAcentral describes it as "partial 18S ribosomal RNA". It matches the Rfam family "Eukaryotic small subunit ribosomal RNA", at positions 1470 to 1796 of the family's 1831-position model. The record is from RNAcentral.